This is a long non-coding RNA of Magnolia sinica, 1521 nucleotides long. RefSeq lists it as uncharacterized. Lineage: Eukaryota; Viridiplantae; Streptophyta; Magnoliopsida; Magnoliales; Magnoliaceae. The transcript is spliced from 2 exons. The record is from RefSeq and is a predicted model, not a curated record.
UUAUCGAUUAUGUAAAUGGCAGAUCUCCAUCCUCCAGUGGGCCACGUUUCUGCCGUUUGGUCCACCUGACAUCGAUCCUCAAGAAUACUUAGAAGAGGAGAUGUUUGGGAGCCAUCCAUUUCCUCAACUUGUUAUGAAAGUGAUUCAUCAAUUUAAAUGAUUCUUGUACUGAUUGUGUGGAUCUCCAGUGUAUUUAAGCUCCUUCAGUUUUCUGUAUCUAACCUCUUGCUUCUGAUCUAUACUUCAUGCAAUCACCAGAAGAGUGAUGCUAUAAACCAAAGUUUAAAAACUUAGACACUUGAUUUGACUCUAUGUUCACCCGAUUUGGGAAACAAAAUAGUGUUUCUCAGGAAACCUUAUUUCUAGGAAGCUGCCGUAAAAAGGAUAUGCAGUUUUGUUGUUUGAAAAAAAGAAGAAGAAGCAUUUACUAAUGGUUAUCGGCAUGUGUUAAUACAUUUCACAUGUAUGGGACGGUUGCACAUGUGGCAUACACAACAUAUAUGGGGCGCUUGAAAUUGAAUUGUGGCACAUGUGAGGUAUCUCAUGGUUGAAGUUCUGAUUAUUAUUCAAAUUCAUGGCUUGGUAUUAAUUUCCAUAUCAGUUGUUUCUUGUUUAGAUAUAAUCAGAAUCCGUCUUAGAUAAUAACAGAAUGAUGUUUUGCCAGCUCAUUCCUUCAGUUUGUACCACUACAUCUUCCUCUAGGUGACACAUCAACAGAACAUUGCCAGACAUGAAAAGAAAAUAUGGAUGUAGCUUGCAUACUCUUAAGUUCCAUGUGUAGAGUAUUUAUACAAUGCUCGACAAGUACAACACAUUGCUCAACAAUCUGUUUUUGAUAUGAAUGAAUUCUCUUUGAUGGUUUUUUUUUCCACCUUUUUUUUUUCGAUUUCUUUCAUGAGUUUUAAUAGACAAUUACUUUUAUUGGGAUCUUUUUUCCUACCUUGUUUCAUUUACUUCAUAGAUACUCUUUUUUGUUUCUUGGGAUCUUUUAUUGUGAUAGAAGUUCUAAAGCUUUUCUUAUAAGAAUAUUUUAGAAUAGAAAAAUAGAAAUGAUGGGCCCUUUAUCCAUUUUCUACAGCUUGAUUCCAGGGAUUUGCCCACCUUUUCUAUUUUAGAAUAGAAAAAUAGAAAGCAAUUGCUAUCUUACAGUUUGAUUAUUUCAGCUACAUGUCUAUCUUGCUCUCCUGCAGUUCAGUUAUUUAAGGAUUGGCUUACCCCCUGUGCCUCAUCUCAAGAUGGGGAAUUGUUGUUGUAUGGUUGAACUCUGAUGUUAUCUCUUCCUUGCGAUAACAUGGUUGUGAGCUGAAGAUACUUAUGACUGGCUCUAUGUAAAAGAUUAUAAUUUGGAAGGCAGUGUUUGGGCGUCCCUGUAUGUUAUGCCAAAAGUAUGUCUGAUGGUCAUACGGCGAUCAUCAUGGAUCCCCUUAAGUGAAGGUAGUGAUGUAUUGCACUGAUUGUGGAACUAUUGGGGCCAUGAUUCUCAGUUGCCAAGUAAGUUAUAAUGUCGUUUAUGUUCAGCUA